This 29-nucleotide small RNA is filed under the name Bombyx mori (domestic silkworm). RNAcentral's name for it is "ovarian small RNA-24863". Lineage: Eukaryota; Metazoa; Arthropoda; Insecta; Lepidoptera; Bombycidae. The record is from RNAcentral.
UCAAUGAGUUCCAUUUGAAUACGCGCCUU